Molecule: small nucleolar RNA, 107 nt
Organism: Cephalotus follicularis
Lineage: Eukaryota; Viridiplantae; Streptophyta; Magnoliopsida; Oxalidales; Cephalotaceae
Rfam family: Plant small nucleolar RNA R71
About the family: R71 is a member of the C/D box family of snoRNAs containing the C (UGAUGA) and D (CUGA) box motifs. Multiple nearly identical copies of this snoRNA have been identified in Arabidopsis, and it is thought to function as a 2'-O-ribose methylation guide for 18S ribosomal RNA.
Source: Rfam
AAGCCAUGAUGAGGACACUCUAAGAGAAGAUCCUUAAAACGUUCCAUACACCUAGAAAAUGAUUCAUUUGGCCUUUGACAAAACUGGAGGAUGUCGUUCCUAAGUUU